CAGCUCUCCUGGGGGAUCUCCACCAUGGCCUGGGCUCUGCUCCUCCUCACCCUCCUCACUCAGGGCUCCGGUUCCUGGGCCCAGGCUCCCCUGACUCAGCCGCCCUCAGUGUCUGGGGCUCUGGGCCAGUCGGUCACCAUCACCUGUGCCGGAAGCAGCAAUGAUGUCGGUUAUAGUAACAAUGUUUCCUGGUACCAACAACAACCAGGCAUGGCCCCCAAAAUGCUGAUAUAUGAUGACAGUAACAGGCCUUCCGGGAUCCCUGACCGCUUCUCUGGCAGCAAGUCCGGCAACACGGCCUCCCUGACCAUCUCUGGGCUCCAGCCUGAGGACGAGGCGGAUUAUUACUGUGCUUCGUAUAGGAAGCCUAACAGUAUGCACAGUGGUGCAAGUUCAUGGGGAAGUGAGACCAAAACCUGCCCUGUGUCUCAGGCUCCCUCCUUCUCUGAAUCUGCUUCCCCAGCCUAA
This is a non-coding RNA of Pteronotus mesoamericanus, 468 nucleotides long. The record is from the annotation of a RefSeq genome assembly. NCBI's taxonomy places the organism in Eukaryota, Metazoa, Chordata, Mammalia, Chiroptera, Mormoopidae.